Molecule: ribosomal RNA, 253 nt
Filed under: uncultured bacterium
Lineage: Bacteria
Description: partial 16S ribosomal RNA
Rfam family: Bacterial small subunit ribosomal RNA
Source: RNAcentral
UACGAAGGGGGCAAGCGUUGCUCGGAAUCACUGGGCGUAAAGCGCGCGUAGGCGGACGUGUCAGUCAGGGGUGAAAUCCCGGAGCUCAACUUCGGAACUGCCUUUGAUACAGCACGUCUUGAGUCCGGAAGAGGUGGGUGGAAUUCCUAGUGUAGAGGUGAAAUUCGUAGAUAUUAGGAAGAACACCGGUGGCGAAGGCGGCCCUCUGGUCCGGUACUGACGCUGAGGUGCGAAAGCGUGGGGAGCAAACAGG